AACGAACGCUGGCGGCAUGCCUAACACAUGCAAGUCGAACGAGACCUUCGGGUCUAGUGGCGCACGGGUGCGUAACGCGUGGGAACCUGUCCUUCGGUUCGUAAUCACUCCCCGAAAGUGGUGCUAAUACCGGAUAAUGUCUUCGGACCAAAGAUUUAUCGCCUUUGCAUGGGCCCGCGUUGGAUUAGCUAGUUGGUAUGGUAAAUGCCUACCAAGGCGACUAUCCAUAGCUGGUCUGAGAGGAUGAUCAGCCACACUGGGACUGAGACACGGCCCAGACUCCUACGGGAGGCAGCAGUGGGGAAUAUUGGAAAGUGGGCGAAAGCCUGAUCCAGCAAUGCCGGGUGAGUGAUGAAGGCCGUAGAGUUAUAAAGCUCUUUUACCCGGGAUGAUAAUGACAGUACCGGAAGAAUAAGCUCCGGCUAACUACGUG
RNAcentral lists this ribosomal RNA (433 nucleotides) under uncultured bacterium. Its description in RNAcentral is "partial 16S ribosomal RNA". It matches the Rfam family "Bacterial small subunit ribosomal RNA", at positions 29 to 507 of the family's 1533-position model. The record is from RNAcentral.